CAAUAGCGUAUAUUAAAGUUGUUGCAGUUAAAAAGCUCGUAGUCGGAUUUGUGGUGUACGCCGGCGGCCCGUCGCAAGACGGAGCUUGCUUGCGUCGCCAUCCUUGGGUGGAUCCUGUGUGGCAUUCAGUUGUCGUGCAGGGGAUGCCCAUCGUUUACUGUGAAAAAAUUAGAGUGUUCAAAGCAGGCUUAUGCCGUUGAAUAUAUUAGCAUGGAAUAAUAAGAUAGGACCUUGGUACUAUUUUGUUGGUUUGCGCACCAAGGUAAUGAUUAAUAGGGACAGUUGGGGGUAUUCGUAUUCCAUUGUCAGAGGUGAAAUUCUUGGAUUUUUGGAAGACGAACUACUGCGAAAGCAUUUACCAAGGAUGUUUUCAUUA
This 376-nucleotide ribosomal RNA is filed under the name uncultured eukaryote. Its description in RNAcentral is "partial 18S ribosomal RNA". It matches the Rfam family "Eukaryotic small subunit ribosomal RNA", at positions 592 to 975 of the family's 1831-position model. The record is from RNAcentral.